Long non-coding RNA from Labrus mixtus (cuckoo wrasse), 1236 nucleotides. RefSeq lists it as uncharacterized. The record is from RefSeq and is a predicted model, not a curated record. The transcript is spliced from 3 exons. Lineage: Eukaryota; Metazoa; Chordata; Actinopteri; Labriformes; Labridae.
GGUGUAUGAGUCGACACGAACCACAACAGCAUCAGUUUGUCCACUUUAACACAACUUUUCCCUGCCAUGCCGCUUGUCAGCGUGAAGUCAGUUGAGCAGAUGUCUGAACCCUGCAGAACAAAACAAAGAACUAAGUGAAAAAGCAAGAAAAGUCCAUCCUGGAGAAGAACACUCGACUAAAAUUUUAAACAAGGCAAUCAGUAAGGGGAGCCUCAAUGGUCUGCAGACUUUCUGUCAGAUGAAAACAAACUGACACUGCUUGAUAUUCAGCGCCGUAUAUGACAUCAAAAUCGGCCUCAACACAGGUUAAAUGAGACACAUCACCAUUACACUCACUAUCAUGGAUGAAGAAACACAACAGGGUUUGAUGAUCAGCACAUGGUCUUACAUCACCACCGAUCACAAAAUUCACAGGCUACCUUUCAGACGAUUAGAUUCGGAUACUUCUGCUUUAGAAACAGCACAAACAUGUUUUCCUCCUGAUAAAAUUGUGGAGCAAAGUCAUCAAAGACAGGGAACCUGUAAUCAGUGUGAGUAGAAGCACUUUGUUUUGUGAUGUGAUCUGUGCUCCUUUCUUAUUUUCACGUCCUGUUGCUUUAAAAUCAAUGACACUUGAGUAAAUGAAAACAAAUCCACUACUCCUGUAAGAAUAAUAACCUUCCCACUAUCCUUAUGUCUGUGAUGGCCGUUUUUAGGUCUUUGUCACCUACAGAUGACACACUGCUGCAGCUGACUGAGGGGACAGAGGGAGGUGUAUCUGCAGGGACUGCAGAGGAGAUGGGCAGAAAACAUAAGACAGAAGGUCAACCCAAUGUCAUUACAAUGUUCAGCAUGCCGCAAGCCAAGUUUCACUCUGGUCUCAAACUUUUGCACUGACUUUGUCAAACUCUUUUUGUAACUCUGUGUGAACAUGUCCUUUAGGGUUCAGUCAGAAAAACCUUGCCUGUGUCUGUAUACAUUUUUUUCGUCUUUGUAAAAGAUCUUUUAAUUGAUACAUAAAAAAGUAAAUAGUUUAGCUGUGCAUUGCACGUAUGUAACAUGUACAUAUUGUCGUACUGUAAAUUGUGGUUCUGUUAAACUCUUUCCGCAACUAUUAGUAAGUAAGAUUUGUCAGCUCUGAGUCAAAAUGAGAUUUGCACAUUUUAACUAAAAUCAUGAAUAUACAAUAUGUCAUGUGCAGGCCUGUUCCAUUAGAGUAAUAAAAGACAAACCAGAAAAGAGACAUUUAUCAAUUAA